ACCAUAUAGUCUAGUGGUAAAACAACCGAACUGGUAAUUGGAAGACAUGGGUUCGAUUUCCGUUGGGAA
Non-coding RNA from Paramuricea clavata, 69 nucleotides. The record is from the annotation of a GenBank genome assembly. Lineage: Eukaryota; Metazoa; Cnidaria; Anthozoa; Malacalcyonacea; Plexauridae.